RNAcentral lists this long non-coding RNA (9710 nucleotides) under Gallus gallus (chicken). Lineage: Eukaryota; Metazoa; Chordata; Aves; Galliformes; Phasianidae. The record is from RNAcentral.
UCUGACCUCGCGCGGCCACGAGCGUUUCUCGGUGUCGUUCUCCGCUCUGCGUACGGUUCCCUCAGCGGCUAUUAGCGAUCGAACAGCUCCGAGUGCCUGCGCGGAGGGGAACAGCCAGUGCGCUGAGAACAGACGGUUCUUGUCUCCGCUGGGAGCGCUGCCGUGAUCCUUUGUCCUGCAGAGCGCUGUUCCGGCGUGUCAGGCUGCGUCCUAGAUGCGGACUGCAAGGACGAGCCCCGCAGUACGGCAGCAGCCCGGAGCGCGGCCCGGCCCCACUGGGCGGAGCGCUGCCGCGCGGCCGCGCCUCCGUUCCCGCCCGCCGCCGCCGGGUGGCGCGCGCGUCCCGCUGAGGGUGGCUGUGGGAGCCCCGGCGGCGCCGCCCGAGUGGGGGGCGGAGUGGGGCGGGGGCUGCCUUCAACUCGGCCGGUGAGCGGCUGCCGGCGGAGCGAUGCUGCGGCCGGAGGAACGGCCGGGGCCCCGUGCGAGAUCGGCGACGGCCGAGGAGGUCGGUUCCGCAGCGCGGGGAGGUAGGAGGUUAGAAGGUGAUAGAUCAGAGAUUCUGGAUGAGAGCAUUCCACUCACUAAUGACAAGGCGUUUAUUAGAACAGUUGCACACCGUGUUUCCUUCCUAGAAGAGAAAGUGCCCGAAGCAAAGAAGAGUCAUGGUGCCUUUUUAAUACCACUUUCCAACUGUUUCGAUAUGCAGUUAUCCCAUCUUUAAAAACGUCUGGGACAUACCUUAACUCUGUAAAGAACAUCAUGAAUAUGCAGUCUGGUUAACAGGCAUGGAAAGGACACGACCUCCUCCAGGAGUGGCACUUUAAGAUCUGCCAAAACUCUAUCAAACCAAAGACUUUUUCCCUAUGAACAAUGUAGGUACCAAGUAUCAAAAUCAUUGAUUUCUGUCUCUUUUAUAAAAGGCUGGGUUUGUUCUUAUGGUUCAUACUUUAUAUAUGUAAGUAGAAGCAACUGUUAUACUUCAGAUCUUUGGUUAGCAUCUGUAAAAGGAAGCUGAAACUUUCCAAUCAUGUUGUGGCCGUAUAGAGGCUGGAACAUUUAUUCUAAGAUUUGAUCACAGUAGUUUACACCAUAAGCUUACAGAACCAGCAAAGCAAAUAUAUAAAGCAUCACAUUUUUAUACUUAAAAUGAUCAGAAGCUUAAAGAAUGUGCUAGUAUUGCAUGCUAAAACUGCCAGCCUCACAAAUCAUCAGGAUACACCACAGAGCAUGAAAUCAGGGUCAGAAUUUAACAAUUCAAUAAACCACAUAUGGCCAAACCUUCUAGCACUCCAAAGCAGGAAUAGGGUUUUAAAAGCUGUUGCGUAACACAAGCUGAGUAAUAUGAAUAAACUUUUUGCAAUGUUGUUAUGGACCUUUGGAUGUGCCAUUUUGUAAGAGUCAUUCUGUUUAACCAGAACUUGAAGUAGAAUAUUCAUCUCCCCACCUGUAGCUUGUUUUUUUUUUUUUUGUCUAGGUGAACAAAAAACAAUUAUCUGAAUAAGGAAAAUUAGAAAGAGGAGGUUAUAUACGUAGGUUAGAAGAUACUUGUCUCCUUUAUGUACAGAAGAUCUCACUAUGGCAACAAAAAGGAGGUCAAGAUGGUAGAUUGCUUCUGAAAGAUAAGCAUUUCAGAUAGUUGGCUUUGCAAAUAGUACAAUUUGAAUAAAUAGAAAUAAAUGCUCUUACUUUAAAAAUGCCUGUGAAAAAAACUUAAUCUGGAGGCUCAUAUGCAAGUACUACAAUGGGAAGCAGGGAGAAAGAAGGAAAAAAAAAAGCUUAUAGUGAAUGUAAAGCUCUAUGGCUUUGAGCAACCAUGGAGUCCAAUGCUGAAAUAAGUGAACUCAACGUUUUCAUAUUUAUUAGUGGAACUGGUGAUGAAAGAUAAAGUGAAUUAAAAUACAAAGCAACAGACAGACCUAGUCAGCGUCUGUGCCCUGCAGUGCAGGCUAUCGUAAUGGAUUACUACAAAUGAACUACUGUUACAGAGAAGAAAACUAAUUACAAAAGGCACAGAAUACUCAUUAUACCAGCCAUUUUAGCAAAACAUCAGCUUCUUUAUUAACAGAAAUGAAGGAACAGUACAGACACCAUACUCCUGGAAUCUUUAGGUUCUGAUAAAAACUGAGGUAAGCUGUGUAGGAACACAGCUGGGAGAACUGUACUUGCUGAGGCACAUCUCAGCUGCAGGUCAGUGCAAGGAAGGGUGGCUCAAAGUUACAGGAAUAACAAACCCAUGAGCACCCACAGAAAUAUAGUUAAAAGUGUCAGAUAAAAAUGCAAAUACCUCUACCCAUUCUCAGGCUGUCCUUGCCAGUCUUGGGUAUUUGUCAAGACAAAUUACCAGGUCACACUCCCUUAAAGUUCUUCUUGCAUGAUGCUGUCUUGUAUCUUGAAGUAAUGUGUAUGCUCAUCAUCCACUUCCUUCUCAGGAGUUAAGCGUUUAGAUUUCAGGUAACGUUUCAGAUGAAAACACGUUUCACUUUGCUUCAAUUCAGGUAAACUGGCUAAAGGAAAUUCUUUAGCUAAGGGAUCUUUCUGUUCUCUUACGCGGGCCAAAGCUGGGAUGCAAACUGUUUUCUCAGAAUUUAUUUAAGAGGUCAGACUGAGCUGGCUACUCAGCAACAGCUAGCAUGCUUCUAGAGCCCUCACACAGAACUCUAGUAACAUAUGUACAAAUCGGAUAUCUUCCAUCUCACUUAAUUAUAACGCUCCAAUAAACUACUCUAUUAUAAACACAAUCUAGACUUAAGGCUCCUUUUUAUUGGGCCAUUUACUAUUUCUGCUUCAUGACUACUACAAAAAAUGUGCUUUGCCUCAAGUGUAGAAAGGAACUCUUGCCCAGGCUAAGGUGCAGAUUUUAAGAGCAGCUUGUUUGAAAUACUGGAGUUCAUGCUAAAACUUAAACAUGUCUUCCUUGAUAUUUCUGUUAAGUACUAAUUUUAUGCAAAACCUUUACUUUAGUCACUACGUAAAACUGUAUUUCCUAUCGUGGCAUUUUCUGGCAAAUAAAAUGUUUCCAAGUUUUUACUUCAGUCUUAAUAUUUACUGAUGUCAACCAGCAACUCUCUUUGGAAAUGUGACCUCAACUAUAGGCUACUAAUGUGAAACUAACCUGAACAGAUACUGAGAAGUAUGAUGCCUGUUUCUUAAGAUUUUUUUACUUUGCUGCCUGACAGAUGGUAGUGGUUGCACUAUAUCCUGUAAGAGUUUAAUGCAGGUAACUCAUGGACUGUUUCUCCAGAAUGCAUGAUGAUAACCAUGUGUUUUUUUGUUGGUUUUUUUUUUUUUUUAAUUAACUAGUGUUCUAGAAUGCUAAUAGUAAAGGCAAAUGCAGACAAAGUUACUUUUGUAGGGUUUUUGAAUGCUACAAGGUCCUGUGUUUCUAAAAUUAUUUAAUCUCUUAAAGCCUCAGUGAUAUGCUGCAAAUUCUGAAAUUUAGUUAGGUUUUUGGACCGUAGCAUUCUGGGAAACAGAACAGCCAACAGAAAGGGGAAAGGAACAUUAACAACUUUUAUUAGCCUCUUCCAGGACUUCCCAUGGUUGAUGUUGCUGAAAAAAAACACCACCCAACCGGCAUCUACAGAGAGUAGUUAAUGGACUCAGCUGACUCACUGAAAAGUUAUUUUCAAGUAAACGCUUCAGAGAGUUUGGUAACAAAAUAAGACCUGAGGCUUGAGUUUUCUCCUAAGGCAGAGAAGCACAAGGGGCUCUUCCUCCGAUGUAAACAUCAAAAACAUUUUUUGUGUGAGGUCCCUAAAACUUAUCUUCUAAUGCUUGAGUGUAUAACUGAGAUUCAGCCCAACAGCCACACCUGUUACAGGGGCAGAACCAAAGUAUGUACAUCUUCUGUACAGGGGGAAAGUAAGAUCAAAAGACAAAUCUAAACAAUCAUAGCUAACCGUUUUCAGAUACAAAGAACAGGAAUGCUCAUUCCAAACUGUCAGCAUCACAAAUCAGUGGUUUGUUCAUUACACCAGUAGAAAGUACAGUUCACACUUGCACUUACCUGAAAAGGCUAUAGGUAAAGUCUUCUCAAGAUCUCUAUGAAAGGCUUGCUGUAUAAUAUGUUGAAAACAGAACCAUUUCCUCCUUUAUAACAUUAACAAAGAUUUCACGUGUAAAUUUAGUCCUUGUACAGCAUCAGAAAGUAAACCUUUUGGUAUUUUAUUAGUUGUAUACCUAAAUCAAGCUCAUUGCUCUUGUUAAGUGUAGUUUGGUUUUCAUCACAAUUGGAUUCUCUUCAGUAAAUGACUGUCUCAGUGACGUUUUGGUUAGAUAGCUGUACUAUACUGCACACUUGAGGAAGCGCAGAACUGAUCUGCAGAACAGGUCUGACCAAACCAAUCAUUCGUUUCAACAGAUUUUUGUGGGUUUUUCAGUAUUUACUUUUUCAACCCUCCCCCAUCCCCCAAAGGCUGUAGCUUGCAAGGCAUGCACCUUCCUUUGUGUUUAAGUGAUAUUCCCAUACCUUCCCUAUCAUUUACCCUCAACACGUAGCCUUUUAAAAGCAGACAUGGUUCUAAGAAGCUUUUCAAUAUGUGCAAGUGAUCCUCAUUGACAUAAGUAAGUGUAAAGGAAUGAAAAACACAAGUAAUUGAUGGACUGUUUCUAUGGAUGAAGAACUACGAUCACUACAACUUUAUUUAUAAACUACCAUUCUAGAAUGCUAAAUAGUCAAGACAAAUUCAGACAAAGUUAGUUUAGUACGAUUUCUCAAUGUCCUUGAAGAGAUUAGUCUAUUCAGUAAGAAAAUACUAUACAUACAUGCCCCAGCUGUGCUGUGCAGCAUCUUUUAGGAAACAAACGAACAAAAAAUACCAAACAAAAAACCCCCCAAAAAUUUAGCAAAGUGGGACUGCCCAGGCAGGAACAUGGCACUGCCAUGUAAUAAAGCAGAUAUUUACAGUAAGCACAAUACAGCAAUUUAUUUAGAUGUUUAAAUGAAGAAUACAAAGGGAAAUAAAGAUCACAAAAUUAUACAUACUACAACAGUGUGUCAUAUAUUAGAUGGUAUAAAUGAAUACAACACCUUGUUGGUGUUAACUAAAGAUAAAACUAAAUAUCCAAAACACAGCACUUUUGUUUUAAGUGUGCUGCUUCAACACAAUACACUUUUAUACAGAUCUAAAAGGUGUCAAAAUUAGUAGCUGCAAACUUGUUUCUUGCAUGUGAUUUUUCAUUUUUAGCUUAAAAGAUUUCAGAAAAUGGCUCUGAAAUACAUUUGUCAUCAGUUGUAAUGUCAAGGAUAUUCAGAACAAGAAAAUUCUAUAAUACAAUAAGAGUCCAGAUAUAUUUUUUUUAUGGUGCUGGCCUCUGUUUUUGAGAUUGUACAAGGUUAUGUGCAAAAACUAAGUUUGUCAAAAUUCAUACUAUAGCAGUUUCAAGCUUUUGCUAGGUAAACUAAAUACAGCAUUUAUUACACAGCAGGGCAACACUAAAAAAGAGAAACAAAUCUAUGAUGGGUACACAAGAACAAUUUCAUAAGCUUCACUUGAAUAGGUCUAAAAGACUGUACAAAUAUACAUUUCAACUAUUCAGAAUGAUACAUGAAAAAAAUCAAUUUCCCCAUAGUCUACUAUACACGUUGAACUGGUAGCUUGUAUGUUGGCCCUACGCACUACCAUGUGAAAAAGGGUAAUGUUUAAAAAGACAUACAACUGAACAUGUACAAGAGUGAAAUAAAUGUUGAAAAUGCAGAUAAAAUAAACCUCUGCUUUUUUCUGUGUGCAUUCUUGACCCACCAGCUUAUCUGUUUUCACAUUAAAUUACUGUGCUCAUCCCAGCAAGUACUCUCAAGCAAGAUUAGCCAACAGCAUCCUUAAACAACCACUGGAGUAACAGUGGCCACAAACACCACUCACCGUGACCUAGCACUUGGAAGGCAGUACCAGUUAGAAUUUAAGCUUAGCAGUCAUACUGAAAUGAAAGUGUUUAGACAGUUGUGACUGGAUCAUAUCACUGACAAUUCUGAGUUGAGGAGCUUAUGCUUGCUGACUGCUCAGCUCCACACCGGAUAAGCUGCUAUGCAUUGGAUCUGCUACCCCAUCAGUCACACUGUCAAACUGAUCUCCAUCCUCACUGUCAAUUGUGCUAUUCUGCCAUUCCAUCUGCUGAUUUGUCAAGCUCUCCUCAAUUUCUGAUGCGUUUUUCCAUUGCGACUGGUCCUUAGCCCAGAACUCUUCUACUUUUCCAUAGGAACGAUUCUUCCACUUUGACUGCUCUUCAUCACUCUCAGACCCACCUCCUUUUGUCUCAGCAGUCGGUUUACUGCUACCAGCAUCUUCACUUUGUGAGGAUUCAUCUGUCCACACUUCUGGUUUUACUUCUGAUGUAUUAUCUUCAAAAUCAGAAACUUGCUGAGAACCAGGCCCACUUUCAGACUGUGAAGCUCCAUCUUUCCAUUCAACAGCAUCAUCUUGAUCAUCCUGAUAACCUUCACUAUCUGAAACAUCACCAACCAGUUUUGUCUGCUCUUCGGCAGAAAUCAUCUCCUCAUAUUUAGAGCUUUCUUCUUGUUUUUGAUCAGACUUUUCUGGAGAUGGUAAAGUAUUUUCUUCAAUGAUUUCCUUGGAUAUGCCAUCAUCCGGGUUCUCUGCUAUGCUAUCAGGAGAAGCUUUCUCACCAAUGUCAGAAAUAUGUGGACCAAAUGGACUACUGCUUUCAUUGUAUUCCUCUUCUAUGUUCUCAUAGCUGUCUGAUGAACUUUCAUUGUCUUUUUCUAUGUUUAUUUUUUUAUCAACAGUCUUACUUACAUUAACUCUGGAAUUCUUUUCAUCGUGGUUUUCAAACAGCCAUUCAGCAUCAAAAUCCAUUUCAUGCUUAACUUUGUUUAAUUCUUUCAUAUUGAAACCAAGCAGCACACCAGGUUUGUAUUUUUCACAAUCUCUAACACAUUUUUUCCUUUUGUUGCUAAAGUGAGAUGCAAUAUCAGAUUUCCACAGCCACAAACUGGCAGCCAGCUUUUCAAUCUCUCUCCUAGUUGGAUAUGGUUGCUUAUUAAAAUAUUUUGUGAGAAAUGUUUUCCUGGCUUCAUAGGAAUCAUCUUCAUGACCCUUGGGGUCCAAUGCUAGAACUACCGGUUCUUCAGGCUUCUCCUCAAAGGCAGAGGGGGAGUCAUCAUCAUCCAUUUUCCUUCUCUUCAUUAGAGAGAAUUCCAUGUGUUCGUAAGUACGUUUUACAGGCGCUACACCUGCAGACUGACUUAGCCGAGAUGACGAAGUACCUUUGUCCUGGCCAUUCUGAGUCUUCCCAACACCUCUGCAGUGAACAAGGUGCAACGUUAUAGUUGAGGCAGUCAUGUUACUGGUAUACACGCCAAGGCAAUGAAUGCAUUUGUAGGUUAGCUUUUUCUCAACUGGAUGAACCGUCUGAAUAACUUGAUGCCUCUCCCGUAGAUGAUGUGCAAGUGCAUCAGAGAUGGGUCCCUUUAGGAUUGAGAAACACAGAGGACAGAGAGUUUUCCCCACAUCUUUCUUGUAGGGAACUGCUGCUUGUGGAGAACUUUUCACAGGUACAUCAGACUUCUCCUGGAUUUUCGGCUGUGGUUUUGGAGGAACUGGAGGUGUAUUCUGAGCAUGGUAAGCUACAGAUUCAGCAGGAGCAUCUCUCAGGUUGUAGGUCGUUACGAGAAGAUGUAUAUUUGUGAGACUACCCUGCUGCAGUGUCAAAUCAAACGUUAAAGUGGAAUCAGUUUUAGGUCCCAUUUCUUCAUCAACAUGAACCAUUCGCAUAUGAGCAGCCAUCUUUUCAACAUCAUUGAAGGUUGAACGGCAAUACGGACAAGACAAACCAUGUAUUAACAUAUGAUUAAGCAAUGUAUCAGUGGGUAAAUAGCGAUUACAGUAUAGACAUUUGCUAGUGAAAUUGUGUAUUUUCAUUAUAUAGUUAGCUACUGCAGGCACCUUUUCAGCCUUAUGCUCCUUUUCAAAGUGAACACUAUACACAUUUUCAGGAAACAGCUCAUUACAGAUUGUACAGAUUUUCCACUUUUGUGUGGAUGAUGUAUUGACAGAAGAAGGACCUGUAGCAGCUACAGGAGAUUUUGAGCCAGACUGACCUAAUACUCUUGAAGCUGCCUGUGACUGAGAUAACGACGUUUGUUUCAAUUGAGCUGACGACAAAGAAGUUGAAUUGGCAGACUGAAGAGAAUAUCUUGCUGAGGCCUGAGAUCUCUGUUCCCCAAGAGCAUAAGGCCUUCCAUUUCCACUUGAAAACUGUUUCAUUGUUUGAGAUUGCUGUGGAAUAGAAACUGGUGCAUUACCACUUAAGCUCAGCCUUCCCCCUGGCUGACCAACAUAACUUGGUGGUACUGAUUUGACACCGUAAUUGUUUUGCUGUAAGUGAACAUUUGACAUCAUAUUCACUCCUGCAGAAUUUAAUGUAGGCUUUGGUAUAGUGAGUCUGUUCAUCAUCUGUUGUGAUGAAAGAGAUCGAACGCUCCCAGGGGAAAGGGGACCCAUCCUCUGAGGGAGUCCCAUAGGCUUUUUGUCCUGUGGUUUUGGAGCUAUUAGCAUCAAAGGUUUAGAUCUUGGAACCACUACAUUAGUGUGACCUAUCAUCGCUGUUACCUGAUACCCUAUACGUUCAUGGUCUUCAAUAACGUGCUGUACUAAAGCUUCAUAUGAUUUCGGCAUAAAAAGGCAUCGUUUGCAAUGAAUACUACCCUCCUCCCGGGUACUGGAACUUAAUGGAACUGCACCAUUGAGUGACUUUUCACCUCCCUUUGCUACGUAAGGAGCAGCUACGUGCUGAAAAUGUUCCCUGUAAAUGUGCUUUCUAACAAUUUCAUACAGCGGAUCUCGGUAAGUGCACUUCUUACAGUAAUAAACAGCUUGUUCUACACUGUCAGCCUGCUUAGGUUUAAGGCUAUCAUGCUUGUUUUUAUCUUUAAAAGUGCUGAUGCCUCCACUUGGUGUAUUGGCAUUUGGAGCAUGAAAUAUUUUAAUGUGCGUUUCCAAAGUCUUUUUGUCCGCAUUGAAAGUACAGUAUGGACAGUUAAGGAGAAUCCGAUUUUCAAAGUCUUCGCUAUGGACAUUCCGGAAGUGGCUUUUGUAUGCUGAAAAGAACUUCGAGGAAAAUGGACAUGCACUGCAGCAAAAGGGCUUUGUCCGAUAGUCCUGAUUUUUUGUAAGCGAUGGGUCCCACAAUCCUACAUCUUCCCAUGUAGUGUUUUUCAAAUAAAAGUCAUUAGGUUCAAACUGCUUAAAAUCUUCUAUAUGUUCUUUACAGUAUUCCAAACCAAUGUCACUAAGUAUUUUUUUCACAGUUUUCCGGGCCUUUCUUAAACUGCCAAGGUUGUUGACAGGAAGUUGGAACAUAGUUUCUCGCUCAUUUUCCCUCUUCUCAUCUUCCCUGCGCCAAUUCAUAGCGUCCACAUUCUUUCGUCGUUCUCUCUCAUCCUGUCUCCAUCGCUUCUUGAUAUCUUUGUCCUUAACUUGCUCAUUUUCUCUCCUCUUCUCAUCAUCCCUGUGCCAUUUUAUUGUUUCUGCAUUUUUCUGUGGGUCCACGCUUCUUUUGAGAUAGUCUUGUCGCCUCCUCCUCUUUUUUAACAUAUCUCUUUCCCUGGCACGAGCCUGCUUUUCUUUCUGGGAAAGAAAAGCUUUACGGGGCAUCAUGAGCUGCUGCUGUACCUCCAAAAUUAAUGGUGCUUGGGCGUCUCAGACUCAUUGGACAAGUUUCAUGCAAAAGCCUUCAAAAAUAAUUCUCCUUCC